Molecule: transfer RNA, 67 nt
Filed under: Sandaracinus sp.
Lineage: Bacteria; Pseudomonadati; Myxococcota; Polyangiales; Sandaracinaceae
Description: tRNA-Thr
Rfam family: tRNA
About the family: Transfer RNA (tRNA) molecules are approximately 80 nucleotides in length.
Source: RNAcentral
CACUCGUCCAACGGUAGGACAAUCGGUUUGUCACCGAUCGCUGCAGGUUCGAAUCCCGCGUGAUCCA